RNAcentral lists this ribosomal RNA (433 nucleotides) under uncultured bacterium. RNAcentral's name for it is "partial 16S ribosomal RNA". It matches the Rfam family "Bacterial small subunit ribosomal RNA", at positions 29 to 507 of the family's 1533-position model. The record is from RNAcentral.
AACGAACGCUGGCGGCAUGCCUAACACAUGCAAGUCGAACGAGACCUCCGGGUCUAGUGGCGCACGGGUGCGUAACGCGUGGUAAUCUGCCCUUAGGUUCCGAAUAACUCCCCGUAAGGGGUGCUAAUCUCGGAUAAUGUCUUCGGACAAGAGGUUUAUCGCCCUUGGAUGGGGCGGCGUUGGAUUAGCCGGUUGGUAGGGUAAAAGCCUACGAAGGCGAGGAUCCAUAGCUGGUCUGAGAGACUGAUCAGAGACACUGGAGCGAAGACACAGCCCAGAAUCCUACGCGAGGGGGGAGAGGGGAAUAUAGGACUAUGGCGGGAAGGAUGAACGAGCAAUGCCGGGUGAGUGAUGAAGGACGUAGGGAAGAGAAGCUCUUUUACACGGAGUGGUAAUGACGGUACCGGGAGAAUAAGCUCCGGCUAACUACGUG